UGAGCCUGCGUUAGAUUAGCUAGUUGGUAGGGUAAAGGCCUACCAAGGCGACGAUCUAUAGCUGGUCUGAGAGGACGAUCAGCCACACUGGGACUGAGACACGGCCCAGACUCCUACGGGAGGCAGCAGUGGGGAAUAUUGGACAAUGGGCGAAAGCCUGAUCCAGCAAUACCGCGUGUGUGAAGAAGGCCUUAGGGUUGUAAAGCACUUUCAAUUGGGAGGAAAACCUGCCGGUCAAUACCCGGUAGCUUGACAUUACCUUUAGAAGAAGCACCGGCUAACUCCGUGCCAGCAGCCGCGGUAAUACGGAGGGUGCGAGCGUUAAUCGGAAUUACUGGGCGUAAAGCGUGCGUAGGUGGUUCGUUAAGUCAGAUGUGAAAGCCCUGGGCUCAACCUGGGAACUGCAUUUGAAACUGGCGGACUAGAGUUUAGUAGAGGGGAGUGGAAUUUCAGGUGUAGCGGUGAAAUGCGUAGAUAUCUGAAGGAACACCAGUGGCGAAGGCGACUCC
Molecule: ribosomal RNA, 509 nt
Filed under: uncultured bacterium
Lineage: Bacteria
Description: bacterial SSU rRNA
Rfam family: Bacterial small subunit ribosomal RNA
Source: RNAcentral